Molecule: transfer RNA, 541 nt
Filed under: uncultured cyanobacterium
Lineage: Bacteria; Bacillati; Cyanobacteriota
Description: partial miscellaneous RNA
Rfam family: tRNA (bases 212-284)
Source: RNAcentral
CAGGGAGACAACAAAAUGUUUAAUAUUAUUAUUUUGUCACCUUAGGUCGAUCGGUAUCUCACGUUUUUAAUUUAUUAAGAAUUUCAUUUCCUAAGUUUUUCUAGGUCACACCCAUUAUUUUUCCUGGGCCAUUAGCUCAGGUGGUUAGAGCGCACCCCUGAUAAGGGUGAGGUCCCUGGUUCAAGUCCAGGAUGGCCCAUAUCUCUAUGUUGGGGGUAUAGCUCAGUUGGUAGAGCGCCUGCUUUGCAAGCAGGAUGUCAGCGGUUCGAGUCCGCUUACCUCCACUGAUUACCACCUCUUCCAUAACCGGUAAAAAGGAAAGGUUUUGAGUUGUGAUCAAAUUCUGAAAGAAUCUAGCUUCCUAAUGAAAUCAUUAAGAUGCUGGACUCAUUGAAUUAAUUUCAUUGUUUUCAGAGAACCUUGACAACUGCAUAGAUUAUUUUUAAAGACAAUAAGCAUCUUUAAUGAUGCAGAUUUAUUAUUUGUGCGAAUGCAUUAAUAACAAUUCUAUUAAGCUGAUGCUUCAAUUUUUGAAGUUAUU